CCCAAGGGACUAUAAAUACCCCAUCAACCCGUUUUGUUUCAGCAUAUUAACAUACCAAACAGUUCUAGAAGUCUCUCAAAACUUCUCCCAAAUAUUAUAGUCCGAUAAAUCAAGAAUUUAACAAGAUUUCGCCAAACUAGUCCGUGAAAGGUGAUUGUUCUUGCUUCUACUCAAGUGUGGCGUUGGAGAAAAUUGAUGUGGCUAAGUUUCUUCAAGUAUAAGACUAACAAGUUGGACGAAUAAGCGUAGCUAGUAAGGCGCGGCACAGGUACACCCAGAUGAGCUGAAGCUAGUAUAGAAGAAGUUUCAGCGAAGUUGGUAGACCCCACUUGUUCCUGGGAGUGCUGCCGAGUCAGAGCUUGUAUGCUAGGAUUUCUGGAUUGAUGUUAGAGACUUUGCAGACAGAUUCGUGGGUAUCGGGAGUCAGUCUGUCAGCGGCUCCAUCAGCCGAUGUGUCAGUUUGUAUAAUGAUAUAUGUGUUACACAGUUACAGAUUUUGUUUGAUUUGAAAGCAACAAAAGAAUAUUUCAGUAAGCUUUAUUAUGUAUACUUGAUUUAGAGGUUCAAAAAAAAUAAUAAUUUAAGUACGUAAUAAGAGUCAGCGGGUUCGCUCGGCUCCGGAUAUGGGGUCGGGUGCCCAUCACACCCUAGUAAGAUUGGGGUGUGACAAUUUCUUCAUCCUACAGUUAAAGACUUCGGGCUCGUUUGGUAUGAUGGAUAAAUAAAAAUAG
Molecule: long non-coding RNA, 731 nt
Organism: Lycium barbarum (goji berry)
Lineage: Eukaryota; Viridiplantae; Streptophyta; Magnoliopsida; Solanales; Solanaceae
Exons: 3
Source: RefSeq, a predicted model, not a curated record